GACGUCACGCGUGCGCUACCGCCAUCUAUCGGCCGGCCGCCAUCGUCGCACACCUGCCUUCGCGCGACACGACCACCGACAUUCGCCAUCGCGCUCGCACCAGUGGCACGUAUAAAUAACCUAAAACGUCUGAUCGUGAAACAACCAAUCGUCCAAAAUAUUAUUCUCACGAUUAUAUCCACAGUGACAUUAACAGUAAAUGACAGUGUAGACGUGAUAUAAUAAGAAGUUUUGGAUUAAACCCGCAGUGAUUUUGCCUUGUGAUUUUAUCAAUAGAAAGUUUGUAAGGACAAAUGAUAGUUUUGGUGGGCUGUCGACGGGCAGCCCCCAAAUAUUGUGCCAGUAUGUGGUGGUUUAUAUUUUUAUGUGUGAUUUACACUAAAACUAUAACUGUGUUCGGUUCGAAUAUCACAGGAGCAGUAUCUGGAAAUGUUUGUUCGCUGAAGCAGUUCCAGUGCGCCAACAAGAAAUGUAUACCGAUUACAUGGGUGUGUGAAGGGGAAAACGACUGCGGUGACAACUCAGAUGAAGAUAUAGAGGAAUGUAAAGAGACACGAACCUGCACUUCUUCCGAAUUUCGAUGCAAAACUGGUCGAUGUGUGCCGCUGUCUUGGCGUUGUGAUAAUGAAAAGGAUUGCUCCGACGGUUCUGACGAGGAACCCGGCACUUGUAAAGUGGAGGCGUGCGGUCCUGAAGAGUUCACGUGCAGGGGAAAACGAGGGGAAUGCGUGCCUCUCACGUGGAUGUGUGACGACAAUGUCGAUUGCUCCGAUGGGUCGGAUGAAAAAGCAUGCAAUGAGACAUGCCGAUCAGAUGAAUUUACUUGUGGAAAUGGCAAAUGCAUACAGCACCGGUGGGUUUGUGAUGGUGAUGAUGACUGUGGUGAUGGUACCGAUGAAGUCAAAUGCCCAGCACCAACUUGCCAACCGCAUAGUCACUUCUCGUGCGCCGACGGACAUUGUGUGACCGCUAGAUGGAGGUGCGAUGGAGACAUAGACUGUCCCGACGGAAGUGAUGAAAUGGGUUGCGCUUCAACACCAAAAAUUACAUCUCCGUGCAUAGCUACAGAGUUCGAAUGUCGUGAUCGAAUGACCUGCGUUCAUAGAGCCUGGGUCUGUGAUGGAGACCGUGACUGUCCGGACGGCGGUGACGAAGCCCCUGAAAUAUGCCGAGGAAACGUUACCUGCAGACUUGAUCAGUUCCAAUGCAAGGACCACAGCUGUAUUCCUGGCGCACUCUAUUGCAAUGGCGAUAAAGAUUGUCCCGACGGCAGUGAUGAGCUCAAUUGCACACGACCUAAGCCAAUUUGUGACAAGCGGACAGAAUUCGACUGCGGUGGUGGAAUGUGCAUACCACUGUCGAAAGUUUGCGACAAACACACAGACUGUCCGAACUUUGAGGACGAACCUGCUGACCGAUGUGGAGAAAAUGAAUGCGCCAAGAAUAAUGGCGGAUGCACUCAACGGUGCGUCGAUACUCCCGUUGGAUACUACUGUGAUUGCGAGAAAGGAUAUAAACUCACCGACAACAGAACUUGCGAAGAUGUGGACGAAUGCUUAGAUCCUGGAGCAUGCUCGCAAAUAUGCAUAAACGAAAAAGGUACAUUCAAAUGUGAAUGUCAUGCUGGUUACGCAAGGGACCCUCGUGAUAGAACUCGCUGCAAGGCGACCGAAGGCCACCCGUCUCUUCUGUUCGCAAGACGUUUCGACAUCAGAAAGAUUAGUCUUGAUCACCACGAAAUGGUAGCUAUCGUGAAUGACACGAAGUCGGCUACAGCACUUGACUACGUUUUCAGAACAGGCAUGAUAUUCUGGAGUGAUGUCACUGAUGAAAAGAUAUAUAAGGCACCCAUAGAUGAAGGGAGUCAGCGGACAGUCGUCAUAGGAGAUCAGCUGAUCACUUCGGAUGGACUCGCGGUAGACUGGAUCUACAAUCAUCUGUACUGGACAGACACCGGCAAAAACCAUAUAGAGCUAUCUGACCUGCAAGGCAAUAUGAGGAAGGUUCUCAUUAUAGACAAGCUUGAAGAGCCAAGAGCGAUAGCACUUAAUCCUCUUGACGGAUGGAUGUACUGGACCGACUGGGGCCAGGUUCCGAAAAUCGAGCGCGCUGGUAUGGACGGCUCCCACAGACAAACCAUAGUUGCGUAUGACGUGAAGUGGCCCAAUGGCCUCACUUUAGAUCUUGUACGCAAACGCGUUUAUUGGGUUGAUGCCAAAUUGAACACGAUUUCUUCUUGUAACUUCGAUGGAUCGGCGCGACGAGUGAUCCUGUACUCCACGGAUGUUCUUCGGCAUCCCUUCUCGAUCACCACUUUCGAAGAUUGGGUAUAUUGGACCGACUGGGACAAGACGGCCGUGUACCGCGCCAACAAAUUCAACGGAAAAGAUGUCGAAGCCAUCACAUCCACUCAUACGCUACAAAAUCCAAUGGUGAUUCACGUGUACCAUCCCUACCGUCAACCCGAUGGUGUCAACCACUGCGCUGCUGUCAACGGUCACUGUUCUCAUCUGUGCCUGCCUGCGCCUCGGAUAGGCGCCAAUUCCCCGAAAGUGUCCUGCGCCUGUCCCAACGGUCUACGACUCCUACCUGACAACCAGAUGUGCGUCGAAGACAGUGUUCCCGAAACACCCAAAGCUGGUACAGGAAUCUCAAGCAGUGGACGCGACGCAAGCGUUGUUGCUGGAGUCGUUGUUGCAGUAAUAUCGGGAAUUAUUAUACUCGCUGCUUUGAUCGCGGUUGUAAUGUACCGUCAUUACGUGCACCGCAAUGUAACAUCAAUGAACUUCGACAACCCCGUGUAUCGCAAAACAACAGAGAACCAGUUCUCCCUGGAGCAGAAUGGGUACGCACCUGGCAGCAAAUUAUACCCGAGUACCGUCGGCGAAGAGGUGAGAGCGUUAACUGCUAUGGAGUGCACGUUAAACAUACAGAACAGCCUUAGAUAAGUCGCUCGUAUAAACGCUACUGUCCUAAAGUGGAAUGGUGUAAAUGGAAGGAGUAGGCUACAGGAUCUACUUAGGUUUCUGUUUACGAUUUCUAUUUAUUCUACGCUCGAAAAAUUAUUUUUCAAUAUAUCAUAACUAAUUUUUACAUACAAUGAAACUAUACAACCCCUAUCUAUAUCUACUUAUGGCCAAAGUGUAAAUAGUAAAAAAAAAUAUUUAACUAGGUAAAAAUAGUGAACGGUAAGGUCUGCCUAAGACAUUUUAAAUUUGAUGUAUCUAGUCGUAAUAUAUUUACUAGGAUUUAUUUUAAGGAAUUUAUAGAUGAUAUUUUUUGUUAGUGUUAAGAUCGUGGCGAUAAAUUGUGCCAACGUUUUUACCGCAUCAGUAUUAAAAUAUAGUUGCCAAAAUUGGUAUUUGAUGGUAGGUUUAAUAUUGUACAUAAAAUAAUAUGUUUAUAUAUUUUCUGUAUGGUAAUUUGCGUAGUUAUCUAGACAAAUUUGUAAUACUGUACUGCUGAAAUAUUUAUUUUUCAUGCGUUUUCAUACGAGGGCACUGAUUAUUUGGCCCAGGAACCUCUCAACACGCCUGGUACAAAUGAGUUUGUAUAGUGCAAGAUCAGGAAGCAAAUAUAUUUGUAUGUUUUUAAAUGUGAAAAGAAAAAUAAGGACAUGUGAUACUCUGAAAAAUAGUGUAAAACCAGUGAAUGGGGACAUGGCUAACAAUAUCUAGUGAACGUGAAGUUAGCUUUAGUGCAGUGGAAAUUGUGGAGCGUAGGAACUAAGUUCCCACUGCUAACGAGUUUAUCAUUGAUGUGGAUCUCAAAAUUUCAAUAUUACUCUAAAUUGUCAUCCAUUUUUUUUUAACAUCUGAAAGUCUUGCUUUCAAAUUACUUGUAUCACAUAAUAUUUUAGAUAUUAGAAUGUCUCGGCUAUACAUUUUUCUUUAGCCCGUUUAUAUUUUUAGUAUUGCUAUAGCCAAUGGGAUUACAUGUUAAUCUGUGAUGGACAUAUCACAAGCUCUUGAUAAUAUAAUCAGAUAUAUAUUUCAUUUCUUACACUUAUCAAUGAUUCCUCACUAAAUAAUACUUUCCUAUGUAAUAUAAACUACGUCAAUUUAAUGUGUAAUUUUUUUGGGUAUCCCUGAACAAAUGCUUGAUGCAAUUAAAUUAUUUGUAAAAAAAGAAAAAUAUGUUCCAUUUUUAAAUAAUAAUUUUAACGCUUUCUUAAUAAUAAUAAAUUUCACGUUUAAUCGAAUUAAAGUUCAUAUCUUUAAGUCGAAUAUACUUCUUUAGAAAAUUUACAUGACUUUCGAAAGGCAAGAUAUACAGAUAUAGGAGAAAGUUACUUAUUUAAUGUUUUUUAAUCUGUUUUAUCUAGAUAAUAGAAUUAUUAAUUUAUUGGAAUUAUGAAUGUUUUAUGAUACGUCUAAUGUAUAUUGCAUUAGCUGGUACUAGGCUACUAAAUCACUGUUUUAUGUGCCAAUACAUAGAUAAAUUAUCGCCAAAUGUACUAAUCACACUCGAUUGAUAUCUCAUUAUAAUAUAAUGCAAAUUUAAGUUUGUUGAUAUUUAUAUUGUUAUAAAUAAAAGCAGCUGUUUCAAUAUUACUUUAUAUAUUUUAUAUAAAGGUUGUGUUAUAUGUAUUACUUUAUCGGUAGCAAGUUAGGCCUGAAUUUGAAACGUGAAUUUCAAGCGAAAUCCUGCCAAAUCCUCUAAAUUUACCUUAGUUUUUAAUAAAUAUAUUUGUAAUGUAAUACAAUUACACAAGUUGAUGCACAUUUCAUAUGAUAUGCCUAGCUCAAUAAGUGUCGUCACUAAAAUUAUUGUGUAAAUAUCGUCAAUAAAAUAUUAUGUAAAAUGUGUUAA
RNA transcript from Vanessa tameamea, 4812 nucleotides. It is a transcript of the gene named low-density lipoprotein receptor-like, with no coding region annotated. The record is from RefSeq and is a predicted model, not a curated record. The transcript is spliced from 15 exons. NCBI's taxonomy places the organism in Eukaryota, Metazoa, Arthropoda, Insecta, Lepidoptera, Nymphalidae.